GUAAUUGUUGCUUUGGCAAGCCUGCCCUCGGGCUUGCUGGCUCCGGCCGGCGAGCGCUUGCCAGAGGACCUAAACUCUGUUUGUCUAUACUGUCUGAGUACUAUAUAAUAGUUAAAACUUUCAACAACGGAUCUCUUGGUUCUGGCAUCGAUGAAGAACGCAGCGAAAUGCGAUAAGUAAUGUGAAUUGCAGAAUUCAGUGAAUCAUCGAAUCUUUGAACGCACAUUGCGCCCCCUGGUAUUCCGGGGGGCAUGCCUGUCCGAGCGUCAUUACAACCCUCAAGCUCAGCUUGGUGUUGGGCCCCGCCGCCCCGGCGGGCCCUAAAGUCAGUGGCGGUGCCGUCCGGCUCCGAGCGUAGUAAUUCUUCUCGCUCUGGAGGUCCGGUCGUGUGCUCGCAGAACCCCAAUUUUUUCAGGUUGACCUCGGAUCAGG
Molecule: ribosomal RNA, 432 nt
Filed under: Pseudogymnoascus pannorum
Lineage: Eukaryota; Fungi; Ascomycota; Leotiomycetes; Thelebolales; Thelebolaceae
Description: eukaryotic LSU rRNA
Rfam family: 5.8S ribosomal RNA (bases 116-269)
Source: RNAcentral